GGUGACUUUGUGGUGGUGAUGGUGGCGGUGCUGACGUUGUGAUGGUGGUGGUAACCUAGCUUUGUGAUGGUGAUGACAUAGGGAUGAUGGUGAUUUCAUGGGGAUGAUGGUGGUGCCGUGGUGGUUGCGAUGGUGAUGGUGAGGGACUAAGGGCAUAAUGAUGGUGGUGCCGUGGUGUCGGUGAUAUCCGUGAUAAAUAGUAACGGUCUGGUGGUUUUAGUAGUGACGACGUGGUGAUUACGAUGGUGGUGAUGAUGAUGGCGGUGAUGGUGAUGGUGACUUUGUGGUGGUGACGACGUUGUAAUCGGUACCGGCGAGUUGAUUGGUUUUAUCUUAGGGUCAGUUAUGUCUAAAAUAUAGGAAAUACACACAAUAUCAUUGGACUAUUUUUUUUUGGUUAGUUAUCUAAUUAUAAUAUUUUUGUAUGUUAUAAAUGUAAAUUUCCCUAAAAU
This 452-nucleotide small RNA is filed under the name Arabidopsis thaliana (thale cress). RNAcentral describes it as "ATSL215370". Lineage: Eukaryota; Viridiplantae; Streptophyta; Magnoliopsida; Brassicales; Brassicaceae. The record is from RNAcentral.